Molecule: transfer RNA, 76 nt
Filed under: Comamonas odontotermitis
Lineage: Bacteria; Pseudomonadati; Pseudomonadota; Betaproteobacteria; Burkholderiales; Comamonadaceae
Description: tRNA-Gly
Source: RNAcentral
GCAUCCAAGCACACGGGUUGUGUCGCCAGCCUUCCAAGCUGCGCAGAGCGGGAUUCGACUUCCCCUGGAUGCUCCA